This 459-nucleotide ribosomal RNA is filed under the name uncultured bacterium. Its description in RNAcentral is "partial 16S ribosomal RNA". It matches the Rfam family "Bacterial small subunit ribosomal RNA", at positions 338 to 795 of the family's 1533-position model. The record is from RNAcentral.
CCUACGGGUGGCAGCAGUGAGGAAUAUUGGUCAAUGGGCGCGAGCCUGAACCAGCCAAGUCGCGUGAGGGAAGACGGUCCUAUGGAUUGUAAACCUCUUUUGUCGGGGAGCAAAAGACGCCACGCGUGGCGUUCCGAGAGUACCCGAAGAAAAAGCAUCGGCUAACUCCGUGCCAGCAGCCGCGGUAAUACGGAGGAUGCGAGCGUUAUCCGGAUUUAUUGGGUUUAAAGGGUGCGCAGGCGGAAGGUCAAGUCAGCGGUAAAAUUGCGAGGCCCAACCUCUUCGAGCCGUUGAAACUGGUUGUCUUGAGUGAGUGAGAAGUAUGCGGAAUGCGUGGUGUAGCGGUGAAAUGCAUAGAUAUCACGCAGAACUCCGAUUGCGAAGGCAGCAUACCGGCGCUCAACUGACGCUCAUGCACGAAAGUGUGGGUAUCGAACAGGAUUAGAUACCCCAGUAGUC